Molecule: ribosomal RNA, 460 nt
Filed under: uncultured bacterium
Lineage: Bacteria
Description: partial 16S ribosomal RNA
Rfam family: Bacterial small subunit ribosomal RNA
Source: RNAcentral
CCUACGGGUGGCUGCAGUGAGGAAUAUUGGUCAAUGGGCGCGAGCCUGAACCAGCCAAGUAGCGUGAAUGAUGACUGCCCUACGGGUUGUAAACUUCUUUUAUAAAGGAAUAAAGUGAGUCACGUUUGACUUUUUGUAUGUACUUUAUGAAUAAGGAUCGGCUAACUCCGUGCCAGCAGCCGCGGUAAUACGGAGGAUCCGAGCGUUAUCCGGAUUUCUUUGGUUUAAAGGGAGCGUAGAUGGGUUGUUAAGUCAGUUGUGAAAGUUUGCGGCUCAACCGUAAAAUUGCAAUUGAUACUGGCAGCCUUGAGUGCAGUUGAGGUAGGAGGAAUUCGUGGUGUAUCGGUGAAAUGCUUAGAUAUCACGAAGAACUCCGAUUGCGAAGGCAGCUUACUAAACUGCAACUGACAUUGAUGCUCGAAAGUGUGGGUAUCAAACAGGAUUAGAUACCCGGGUAGUC